UUGUCAGUAAGGUUAAUCCUUACCUGUUCCUCCUUUUGGGGAACAGAGAUAAAAUGAUGACUGGAGCUCUCAUGAUACGUGAUUAGCAUCUCUGUGUGAGCAGGACUUGCAACAUCCUGUUUGUUCCUUUCUGAU
Molecule: small nucleolar RNA, 135 nt
Filed under: Echinops telfairi (small Madagascar hedgehog)
Lineage: Eukaryota; Metazoa; Chordata; Mammalia; Afrosoricida; Tenrecidae
Description: U8 small nucleolar RNA (ENSETEG00000022115.1)
Rfam family: U8 small nucleolar RNA
About the family: U8 is a member of the C/D class of snoRNA which contain the C (UGAUGA) and D (CUGA) box motifs.
Source: RNAcentral